UACGGAAGGCAGCAGUGGGGAAUAUUGCACAAUGGGCGAAAGCCUGAUGCAGCUAUGCCGCGUGUAUGAAGAAGGCCUUAGGGUUGUAAAGUACUUUCAUCGGGGAGGAAAAACAAAACUAAUAAUUUUAUUUCUUGACGUUACCCGAAAAAGAAGCACCGGCUAACUCCGUGCCAGCAGCCGCGGUAAUACGGAGGGUGCUAGCGUUAAUCAGAAUUACUGGGCGUAAAGAGCACGUAGGUGGUUUUUUUAAGUCAGAUGUGAAAUCCCUGGGCUUAACCUGGAACUGCAUUUUGAAACUGAAAUACUAGAGUAUCGUAGAGGGAGGUAGAAUUCUAGGUGUAGCGGUGAAAUGCGUAGAUAUCUGGAGGAAUCCUGUGGCGAAAGCGGCCUCCUAAACGAAUACUGACACUGAGGUGCGAAAGCGUGGGGAGCAAACAGGGAUUAGAUACC
This 453-nucleotide ribosomal RNA is filed under the name uncultured bacterium. Its description in RNAcentral is "bacterial SSU rRNA". It matches the Rfam family "Bacterial small subunit ribosomal RNA", at positions 340 to 786 of the family's 1533-position model. The record is from RNAcentral.